Molecule: transfer RNA, 88 nt
Filed under: Rhodospirillales bacterium
Lineage: Bacteria; Pseudomonadati; Pseudomonadota; Alphaproteobacteria; Rhodospirillales
Description: tRNA-Ser
Source: RNAcentral
GCCGCCGUGGCGAAACCGGCAGACGCGCCCGCCCCGAAGGCGGGUUCCCCCACCGGGAGUAUCGGUUCGAGUCCGACCGGCGGUACCA